Molecule: long non-coding RNA, 749 nt
Organism: Dreissena polymorpha
Lineage: Eukaryota; Metazoa; Mollusca; Bivalvia; Myida; Dreissenidae
Exons: 3
Source: RefSeq, a predicted model, not a curated record
GCAGGCUAGAACACUUGCUAGGAUAGCUGAUCAAUGUGUUAGCAUGUGCAAAUGUAUAUUUCCUGCCAAGUUGAUGCUUCGGAACAUUUACAGACUAUUAAAUACUAAAGCAUCUUGUACAGAUCAUUUAACUUUAGAUGUUGCCAGUGUUAAUGACCUUCAGUGGUGGUUGUCAUCAAUUGAUACCUGGAAUGGUAAAGUGGUAAAGGAAGAACAUAUCGAUUUUCAAUUAACUACAGACGCGUCAUUGUCCGGUUGGGGCGGAUGGAUCCUAAACGAGAGGGCACAGGGUUUUUGGACUCCAGAUGUCAGGCGCCAGAGUUCAAAUUACCGCGAACUUUCGGCAGUUAGGUAAGCUUGAUCUACGUGUGACACAUCAGCUGGAUAGGUACGCUUGGUCUACUUGUGACACAUCAGCUGGAUAGGUAAGCUUGGUCUACUUGUGUCACAUCAGCUGGAUAGGUAAGCUUGAUCUACUUGUGACACAUCAGCUGGAUAGAUAAGCUUGGUCUACUUGUGUCACAUCAGCUGGAUAGGUAAGCUUGAUCUACUUGUGACACAUCAGCUCGAUAGGUAAGCUUGGUCUACUUGUGUCACAUCAAUUGGAUAGGUAAGCUUGGUCUACUUGUGUCACAUCAGCUGGAUACGUAAGCUUGAUCUACUUGUGACACAUCGGCUGGAUAGGUAAGCUUGAUCUACUUCUGACACAUCAGUUGGAUAGGUUAGCUUGGUCUACUUGUGAAACAUCA